CUGAUACAAUGACUGCAUAGUCCAGCAGAUUAAACAUGAGGAACUAUCAGCAUUGUCUUUUGCUCCUAUCUGAUGUAUUGG
This is a small nucleolar RNA of Salvelinus sp. IW2-2015, 81 nucleotides long. RefSeq annotates it as small nucleolar RNA snR60/Z15/Z230/Z193/J17. The transcript has a single exon. NCBI's taxonomy places the organism in Eukaryota, Metazoa, Chordata, Actinopteri, Salmoniformes, Salmonidae. The record is from RefSeq and is a predicted model, not a curated record.